CAGCCGCCGCGGUAAUACGAAGGGGGCUAGCGUUGCUCGGAAUCACUGGGCGUAGAGGGUGCGUAGGCGGGUCUUUAAGUCAGGGGUGAAAUCCUGGAGCUCAACUCCAGAACUGCCUUUGAUACUGAAGAUCUUGAGUUCGGGAGAGGUGAGUGGAACUGCGAGUGUAGAGGUGAAAUUCGUAGAUAUUCGCAAGAACACCAGUGGCGAAGGCGGCUCACUGGCCCGAUACUGACGCUGAGGCACGAAAGCGUGGGGAGCAAACAGGAUUAGAUACCCCUGUAGUCCCUGUCUCUUAUAC
This 301-nucleotide ribosomal RNA is filed under the name uncultured bacterium. RNAcentral's name for it is "partial 16S ribosomal RNA". It matches the Rfam family "Bacterial small subunit ribosomal RNA", at positions 509 to 807 of the family's 1533-position model. The record is from RNAcentral.